Long non-coding RNA from Panthera uncia (snow leopard), 889 nucleotides. RefSeq lists it as uncharacterized. The transcript has 4 exons. NCBI's taxonomy places the organism in Eukaryota, Metazoa, Chordata, Mammalia, Carnivora, Felidae. The record is from RefSeq and is a predicted model, not a curated record.
AAUUUCUAUGACAUUUCUGCUUACCUCCCAGUUUGAUUCUGUAUCUGAAGCUGGGACAGAUAUUGGAACUGUGUGUCUCCAAACUGCCUCCAGAGUCACACGGUGGAGAGCAGGAGGGAAGCCAUCCACUACCACCUUCCUGUCUCCCGCAGACAGACUGGGCUGAGCCAACUACAGAGUCUUCCAAGACACUGCUUUAAAGUCUCUCACAUCUGUCUGAAGAUCUGGAUAAUUGGUGGGUGUGGAUAGAAAGCCAUGGAGGACUUAUAUCCAUCUGGAGAGUGGAAAGAAUCCAAAUUUCAGUAGCUGUUACACCCACAUGUUCGGAACAGCCCCUUUGAACAGAGCCUAUCCUGACUGAGAGGAGAAUAGAACUCUGCAAGCAGGGAAAUCACAGAAUAGAAGAAGAAAGAAUUAAAAGACAUCAUUGGAACUUACAGAAGAAGGGCCAUGUGAAGACACAAAGAGAAGAUUGCCAUGUACAAACCAAGGAGACAGGACUCUGAAGAAACCAAAACUGCCAAUGACUUGAUCUUGGGCUUCUAGCCUUCAGAACCGUAAUAAAUAUUUUUGUUUAAGCCAGAAAUAAAAAGACAUAAUUGAUUUUUUUAAAAAGCCAUUUUAAUGUGUAAGUUGUUCUGGUGAUAACAAUUAUGAAUCUUUAGUGAGGAUGGGGGAAGGCUCCUAUGCCUCCUUAUCCUCUUGCAAUCUUAACAAAAAUUGCUGUGAUGUGUUUUAGAUGAUGGUGAAGUGGCUAUGGCCUAAGCCUUACAUUCUCUGCCCAGUGGCCUGGUAUCUAGACAUAUGCCUAUUCUACCGUGGAAAGUCUGGCCCACCCUCACUAAAUCACCGAAGAAAGGCACUACAUUAAGUUCUUAUUCAUUUCUUU